This 200-nucleotide unclassified non-coding RNA is filed under the name soil metagenome. Its description in RNAcentral is "partial contains internal transcribed spacer 2 and large subunit ribosomal RNA". The record is from RNAcentral.
ACCUUCGGUUGAUCGGUCAGCUGAAAUACAUUCACGCAUUGGGGGCUGCUCUCCUUUCAAAGAGAGAGGCGAGUUCCGAUUUGGUAGGUGACCUUUGCCGGUUGCAUGCCUUCGUUGCCCGCUACGCUUUCCAGCUGCGCUGUGCAGGACGCCUUUUGGCUUUCGACCUGAGGUCAGGCAAGAACACCCGCUGAACUUAA